Molecule: ribosomal RNA, 525 nt
Filed under: Triticum aestivum (bread wheat)
Lineage: Eukaryota; Viridiplantae; Streptophyta; Magnoliopsida; Poales; Poaceae
Description: partial small subunit ribosomal RNA
Source: RNAcentral
AUGCUUCACCAACUUGGAGCUCCACGGAUCACGCUCAAGCUCGACCUCACGCAUGCCUUCGACUCCCUAUCUUGGCCGUUCCUCUUCGAGGUACUGCGCCAAUACAGAUUCGGAGACCGAUUCCGGGAAUGGCUCGCGAUCCUGCAAUCGACGUCUAGCACCCAUGUUCUGAUCAAUGGCGAGCCGGGCCCACCAAUUUGGCAUCGCAACGGGCUGCGCCAAGGGGACCCGGUGUCCCCACAGCUCUUCGUGCUUGCUGUGGACACACUUGGCAGACUGAUGCGCCGCGCCAUUGACUCCGGCAUUCUACAGCGGCUCCACCCACAUCGGCAUAUCCCGACGAUCUCCCUGUACACCGACGAUGUCAUGUUAUUCUGCCAUGCAACGACGGGCGAUGUGGCUGCCAUCAAGGGUAUCCUGACCCUGUUUGGCGAGGCGAGCGGAUUAGAGGUGAACUACGCCAAGAGUUUCGCCACUGUUCUCCAUGGUGAACCCGAGGCGGAUGCAGUACUCGCCCAGCUCUGA